RNAcentral lists this ribosomal RNA (496 nucleotides) under uncultured bacterium. RNAcentral describes it as "partial 16S ribosomal RNA". It matches the Rfam family "Bacterial small subunit ribosomal RNA", at positions 28 to 506 of the family's 1533-position model. The record is from RNAcentral.
GAUGAACGCUGGCGGCGUGCCUAAUACAUGCAAGUCGAGCGAACAGACGAGGAGCUUGCUCCUCUGACGUUAGCGGCGGACGGGUGAGUAACACGUGGAUAACCUACCUAUAAGACUGGGAUAACUUCGGGAAACCGGAGCUAAUACCGGAUAAUAUAUUGAACCGCAUGGUUCAAUAGUGAAAGACGGUUUUGCUGUCACUUAUAGAUGGAUCCGCGCCGCAUUAGCUAGUUGGUAAGGUAACGGCUUACCAAGGCAACGAUGCGUAGCCGACCUGAGAGGGGGAUCGGCCACACUGGAACUGAGACACGGUCCAGACUCCUACGGGAGGCAGCAGUAGGGAAUCUUCCGCAAUGGGCGAAAGCCUGACGGAGCAACGCCGCGUGAGUGAUGAAGGUCUUCGGAUCGUAAAACUCUGUUAUUAGGGAAGAACAAAUGUGUAAGUAACUAUGCACGUCUUGACGGUACCUAAGCAGAAAGCAACGGCUAACUACGU